RNA transcript from Brachypodium distachyon (stiff brome), 2767 nucleotides. It is a transcript of the gene named putative AC transposase, with no coding region annotated. Lineage: Eukaryota; Viridiplantae; Streptophyta; Magnoliopsida; Poales; Poaceae. The transcript is spliced from 5 exons. The record is from RefSeq and is a predicted model, not a curated record.
UAGCUUCGCAAGGAAGCCGGCUGACCGAGCCGCUCCAUCGGAUCCAAACUUCCAAACCAAGCUCGAGCUCGAACCCGAACCAAACCCUAGCUUCGGCUGCGGCUGCGAGCCUCCCUCUCCCCACGUUUCGAUCGGCGCCGUCGCCGGCUCGUCUCCUCCUUCCGUUCCUCCUCGGCUCCCCGCCUCCCGACUCCUCCCUCCCUCGGCAGCUCGGCUCCCCUUCGCCGCCGCCGCGAAAGAAGAAAUCGAGCCCAAUCGGCUGCGAUUUUGCCGCGCUGCGGUGGGUUUGUUUUGCGCUCAGAGGAUCGAGAAAUGGCUGACAUGACUCUCUUGCCUGUCGCCGGCGGCGUGGAGGGAGGAGGGCUGCAAGACGGGGUCGGGUCCAAGAAGAAGAAGACCAUGAAGUCGCUCUACCUGACAUUCUUCGAGGCCGCCUCCGACGGCAAGACACGCACCUGCAAGCUCUGCGGCAAGAGCUACUGCCUCACCACCGCCACCGGGAAUCUGGGAAAACAUCUGAAUAACCGGCACCCUGGUUAUGCCCAGCUCGCUGAUCUGCAGGGUAACGAUCCUACGCAAAGUACCAUUUCCAGCAUGUUUGCUCGGAACAAGAAACCUCAUGCUCCGAUCCGCGCUCGAACCCAAGUGCAGCAGCCGCAGUCUCAAGCCCAAGUUCAGGUCCAAGCUCAAGCGAAAGCUGGUGCUCAACCGAGAGCGAAGCCGGCGGUUGACGUGGACUAUGUCAACUGGUUGCUUCUAAGGUGGUUCAUCAGCUCCUCCUUCCCGCCUUGUGCCCUUGAGGAUAGCACGUUCGUCGACAGUUGCAAGUACCUGAACCCGUCUGUCAGGCUUUGGCCGAAAGAGAAGGCUCAGGAGAUUACUCUUCAGGUUUUUAAAAGCAUGAAGGAUGAUGUCAAGGCGUCUCUGCAACAUGUCAGGUCCCGGUUUUCCAUUGCGCUUGAGUUCUGGACUUCCUACGAGCAGAUAGUAUAUAUGUCUGUCAAGUGCCACUGGAUUGAUGAAAAUUGGGUCUCGCAGAAAGUUCUGCUUGAUGUGUGCCGGAUUCAGUACCAAUGCACCGGCUCCGAGAUUUUGCGAGUUCUGUUGACUGUCUUGCAGGAAUUUAACAUUGGUUCGAAAAUCCUUGCUUGCACACAUAAUAACAGCCAACAUGCAAUCCAUGCCUGUCAUGAGCUCAGCCUGGAGCUUGAGUCCCGUAAGCUCCCCUUCUGUUACAUCCCCUGUGCUGCAAGGACUCUAGGGACUAUCAUAGAAGAUGGCCUGAAAAAUGUGAAGACAGUCUUGUCCAAGAUCCGCGAGUUUAUUCUUGAGAUCAAUUCGAACCAGGAGAUGAUGGAGGAUUUUAAGCACUGGACUGAGGUUUAUCAAGAGGGAUCAUGGAAACUGCCAUUUGAUCAUUCGGCUAAUUGGAAUGGCAACUACAAUAUGCUUGAUGUAGUAAAGAAGACCCCUAAUGCAAUGGAUAACACCGUCAAGAAGUUUGAUGACAUCUUUGGACCGAGGGACUGGGUUCUUAGUGCCGAGGAGAAGUCAGUGGUCAAUUCAUUGCACUCAUACCUUGAGCCAUUCUAUAAAACUACAAUGAACCUUUGUACUUGCAAAUUACCAACGCUUGGUCUUGUUUUCUUCUUCAUGGACCAUGUCUUUGAGUUGAUCAAUGUCUGUCAUGACAGCAGCCACCAGAAAUUGUUUGAGAACAUUGCCAGAGACAUGUCCAAGACAGCUCGUGACUUCACAUCUCAAGCUUACAACAUCUACACCUUCGCAGCUGCAAUUCUUGAUCCAAGGAUAAAAGGAGAGCUCAUCCCUGAGACUCUCAACUCCACGAGCAACUUGGAGGAUGCAAGGGACCAUUUCGUCAGAGACUACAGUACCAUCUUUCAAGGUACUGGAAAUGGCUACAGCACCCAAGACAGCACCGAGGAUGGUGGCGCAUUCUCCUUUGCUGAAGAGAUUAUUCGUAAACGCCGUCGUGUGAGCAUGAGCACUGCUGCCGAUGAGCUUACUCAGUACCUUGCGGAGCCCCCUGCACCAAUUUCCACUGAUGCUCUUGAAUGGUGGAGGGGGCAUUCCUCCCGUUAUCCACGGCUAUCCUUGAUGGCACGUGACUUUUUGGCAAUCCAAGGGACCUCAUUGGACCCUGAAGAACUGUUCACAAGCAAAGGGGAGAGCAUCCACAAGCAGCAGUACUGUCUUCCUCUUAGUAGCAUGCAGGCUACAAUGUGUAUAAAAUCAUGGAUGCAAAGUGGGUAUCAGUUCAGUUUUCAGUCGACCAUUAUUGACUUCGAGAGAUUAGUCGAAUCUGCUACAGCUCCUGAUGCUGUAGAUGGUCCGGAGUGUUCUUGAUGAAUAAAUAUUCAGAAAUUCAGAAUCCUAGAUUAGUUCAAAUCAUCUGUCUCUUUGCCUUAGGUUCUCAUGUAAAUAGUGUUCAUCGAAGCUGCGAAUGCAGACAUGAAAGAGGAAGCAACUUGAAGUUUGCGAGGCAGGGGAGAGGAUACUGCCAGUAUUAUGUCUUUUGAGUCCUCCUAAGGCCUCGUUCGGUUGUACCGUUCACCGGAGAAUUGGAGAGGACUGAGAAGGGAUUCGGAAGGAAUUGAAAUGCAAUCCCUAAUUGCACAUCCGAACGAGCCCUAGGAGUUCUUUUAACAUAUUCUAAAAGUUCUCAAUUAUUGAUUUUGAAAGGCGAAUGCUGUGUAAAAAACAAACCUAUGCCUUUUAUUUUCAUGUACGAUGCUUGAAACACCAA